This 234-nucleotide unclassified non-coding RNA is filed under the name Hevea brasiliensis (rubber tree). The record is from RNAcentral. Lineage: Eukaryota; Viridiplantae; Streptophyta; Magnoliopsida; Malpighiales; Euphorbiaceae.
UGUGGAAUCAUUAAAAACUUGCAAAGCAUUACAAAUUUUUUUACAUGGACUAAUUUUUUGAGUUACAAACAAAAUUAGGAUAAUAAGAUUCAAAGAAUACACAAUAAAUUUUUAUGCUCGUAAGUUUAAUUUAACAUUUUAUAAGUAGAAUUUCAUGUUAUGUAGACCAUUUUCACUAUAAAAAUGUUUCCACUUUUUCAUUAUAUUAUCAUGUUUCUAUUAAAAAAAAAAAAA